This 61-nucleotide transfer RNA is filed under the name Podarcis lilfordi (Lilford's wall lizard). RNAcentral's name for it is "tRNA.Leu". It matches the Rfam family "tRNA". Rfam says of the family: Transfer RNA (tRNA) molecules are approximately 80 nucleotides in length. Lineage: Eukaryota; Metazoa; Chordata; Lepidosauria; Squamata; Lacertidae. The record is from RNAcentral.
GAGGGCUGUGGCUCAGUGGUAGAGCACAUGGAUGACCCAGGUUCAAGUCCUGGCAUUGUCA